UUAGAAACAUCAACAUUGCCUGGAAAAAUGAAGGCUUUAGAAUGUGCAAUACUACUCUCUGCAGUUUUUUCAAUCUUUUGUGUGAUAUCAGUCUCAUGUACCAAUUCAUCCUCAGUUGAAUACAAUUUUCUCCAAUGCCUUUCCAAACAUUCUCAGCGAUCAAAUCCAAUCUCUGAAGCAAUUUACACCUCCAAAAGUGCCUCUUUUUCCUCUGUUCUGCAGUCAUAUGUGAGAAACCUCAGAUUUAUAUCCCCGACAACCCCGAAACCGCUGCUAAUUGUAGCAGCCAAGCAUGAAUCCCAUGUUCCAGCAACUGUCAUAUGUGCCAAAAGCCUUGGCUUGGAAAUCAGGAUAAGAAGCGGUGGACAUGACUAUGAGGGUGUUUCCUAUGUGUCCCGAAAUACAAAAGAUUUCAUCGUUCUCGACAUGUUUAAUCUCCGGUCCAUCAAUAUUGAUAUGGCGGAUGAAAGUGCAUGGGUCCAAUCUGGGGCAAUACUUGGUGAAAUUUUCUAUGCAAUUUCUGUGAAAAGCAAGAACCAUGCCUUCCCUGCUGGUGUGUGUCCUAGUAUUGGUGCUGGUGGACAUUUCACAGGAGGUGGUUAUGGUAACAUGAUGAGAAAAUAUGGACUUUCAACUGAUAACAUUGUGGAUGCAAAAUUGGUAAAUGUAAAUGGUAAAAUCCUUGAUAGAAAGGCCAUGGGUGAAGAUCUAUUUUGGGCCAUUAGAGGAGGUGGUGGAUCAAGUUUUGGAGUCAUUCUUGCCUGGAAAAUCAAGUUCGUUCGGGUUCCUGCCACGGUGACAGUGUUCGAAGUAAAAAGGACAUUGGCACAAGGUGCAACAGAAAGUCUUGUGAAAUGGCAACAAGUUGCUGAUAAGCUAGAUCACGAUUUGUUCAUAAGAGCAAUUAUUAAGCCAGCGAAUGGAACGAUCGAGGUGUCUUUCAUGUCCUUGUUUCUCGGAAACUCUGAAAGACUUCUGAAGCUGAUGAGUCAAAGCUUUCCUCAAUUGGGUUUGCAGAAAACAGAUUUCCAUGAAAUGAGUUGGAUUCAAUCAGUUUUAUAUUGGACAAACUACCAGAAUGGAACUACUUCCCCUGAGGUUUUGCUCAACAGGGUCCCCAAGGGGCAAGUGUUUCUGAAGCGAAAAUCUGAUUACGUGAAACAACCAAUUUCAAAGACAGAUUUGGAGGCCUUAUGGAAGGUGAUGAUUGAGAUUGGAGAAGUUACGAUGCUGUGGAAUCCUUAUGGAGGAAAAAUGAGUGAGAUUCCAGAGACAGCUACUCCAUUUCCACAUAGAGCAGGUAACUUAUUCAAGAUUCAGUAUUCAGUUAACUGGAAGGAGGAAGGGUUUGAGUCCACCAAAAGGUACUUGAGUUUGAUGAAAAAACUUUAUGUAGCAAUGACUCCUUAUGUGUCCAAGAAUCCCAGGAUGGCUUUCUACAACUAUCGUGACCUUGACAUUGGUACGAAUUCGAAAGGCGGGUACGAUGAAGCAAAAGUGUACGGGACUAAGUACUUCAAGGGUAAUUUUGAAAGAUUAGUACGUAUUAAAACAGAGGUGGAUCCUGAGAAUUUUUUCAGAAAUGAACAGAGCAUUCCAACUCUUCCGUCUAAACAACUAUAAAGGAGGGGCCGAGGGGGCUUUAGGUUUUGAUUUUCUACAGUCAUAAAUAAGAAAGUGAAGAAAAUUUUGUUGGGAUUAGAUAAUUCUCUUGUUUUGCAUUCUUUUUGUUUUUCCAGUUUUUGUUAUGUACAGGAUGGAGGCUUAGCCCAUAGUUGUAGUUAUCUAAAGGUUGGACUUAACAUGUCUCAUGUACCAAAUCAUCUAUUUCUUGUUUUAUCCUUUUGCCAAACCCAUCUAUGUAUUGUUCUCUUCAAACGUUUUUGUUGAAAAAAUAAUGUUCAUUUGUGUUCUACACAAUUCUAGAGAAGUCAAGAAUUUAAAAGAUGGAGAUGGCAAUGCAAGAAUAUUCUAUAACAAGCUAGCAGUGGCUGAAUGAUUCAAAGCAAUAAUAUCAUCU
Molecule: long non-coding RNA, 2020 nt
Filed under: Prunus dulcis (almond)
Lineage: Eukaryota; Viridiplantae; Streptophyta; Magnoliopsida; Rosales; Rosaceae
Description: sRNA ncRNA
Source: RNAcentral